Molecule: ribosomal RNA, 253 nt
Filed under: uncultured bacterium
Lineage: Bacteria
Description: partial 16S ribosomal RNA
Rfam family: Bacterial small subunit ribosomal RNA
Source: RNAcentral
GACAGAGGCCUCGAGCGUUAGGCGGAAUUACUGGGCUUAAAGCGUGUGUAGGCGGAUCGUUAAGUGCCUUGUGAAAUCCCACGGCUUAACUGUGGAACGGCUGGGCAUACUGGCGGUCUUGAGCCAUCUAGGGGCGACUGGAACAAACGGUGGAGCGGUGAAAUGCGUAGAUAUCGUUUGGAACGCCAAUGGUGAAAACAGGUCGCUGGGGAUGAGCUGACGCUGAGACACGAAAGCCAGGGGAGCAAACGGG